ACCCCCAAACAAUCCCGUAGCCUCACAUCCACUCGCGUGAACCCUACCCGGCCCCGACCCUGCCCACAAUUUCUGCCGCCGCCGCCGUUCUCGGGGUCUCCGUCCGGACCCGUCCCUGCCGCCAUCAGCGCCCAUAGCCCCGAGGUCCCGGACCCCUCCAUCGCCUGCCUUUUCCCGGCCCCUUCGCUGCCACAACAUGGGCAUCUUCGCUGGCCCGAGUUUCCACCGAUGGCUGUGACCAUAUCCCAGAUCCCCUAACCCCAUCCACUCAUGCCUUCCCCGGUGCUGUGGCCAAGGGCAGCUCCGUCCGCCCGGACCUUCACAAACCACCACUAGCCCUCAAGAAGGACCAAGUCAGCGCCCUCCUCUUCCUCCUCUAAGGAAAAGAUCUCGUCUCCAACAAGCUCGGCGACGCCGCCACCAAUGGCGCGAUGUCUCAUGAAAGGUUGUUCCCAUGUGUUGACAUAAAUAACUAUGGUCGUUCCCAUGUGUUUGGCCAAUCUGAAUAGCAGAACAAAAACCUUGUGCUAGAGGCAUGCCGCUGGCACCGCUGGGCCCUCACUGAUCUUAUACAAGCCAUUUGAGGAUAUGCCGUGUCAAGAUUCUAUGAUUGGUCUUCUUGGUUUGACAUCCAAUUCAAAAAUCUGUUCACUUCCCUGGAGCAGUCAUAGAGGCAGUGGUAGAGCGUGACAAGCAACCAAGUGGCACCAAAUUCAAACUAAAAGAAAAAUAUGUGUGAUAAAUUGAAAACAGAUGCAGCAGCAAGCCGCCGGUGAUGAUCGGUGGCACACAAUACGACAGGAGCAUUAGAUGACGAGAAGGGCAACAUCAGUGCUGGCGUGCAGAUGUAGCAGCAAGCUGCUGGUGAUGAUCGGUGGCGCACAAUAUGGCAGGAAAAUGAGAUGACGAGAAGGGCAUUAGCAGUGCUGGCAUGCAGAUGCAACAACAAGCCGCUGGUGAUUAUCGGUGGCGUACAAUACGACAUGCAUCAACAUUGGUGGCGUGCAGAUGCAGCAGCAAGCCUUCAGUGAUGCUUAGUGGGGCGCAGCAUGACAUGAUAAAUGGAUGGCAGAGAAGGUGGCAUCACUCCCCUGUUUGUCUUCCAUGAGCCUCCGCUAGUGCAUAGAGGUACAUAGCCACCUAGCGCUUGGAUGUGAGGACUUGGAGUGUCAUGGAACAUUUGGUUGUUUGCCAUAUUUUGGAUUAGCCUACUUCCAUUGUAUCAUUAAUCUUAUGUGUGUUUUGGACCAUUUGGUGCUUCAAGUCUUUUGGAUUAGAAACUUUGUGCUCAUGGAUGUAAUUUGUCUGUGAACCCUUUCAGACUAGCAAAUAGUGGUCCUUAUGUCACUUGUGUAUUCUAGAUGGUCAUACUAUGAUUAUUGUUGUGUUUGUGAACCUGUGUGAGUAUAUAUGUAUGAUUUUUAACUUGUCAUCA
This is a long non-coding RNA of Triticum dicoccoides, 1435 nucleotides long. RefSeq lists it as uncharacterized. The record is from RefSeq and is a predicted model, not a curated record. The transcript is spliced from 6 exons. Lineage: Eukaryota; Viridiplantae; Streptophyta; Magnoliopsida; Poales; Poaceae.